UACGGAGGGGGUUAGCGUUGUUCGGAAUUACUGGGCGUAAAGCGCGCGUAGGCGGAUUAGAAAGUUGGGGGUGAAAUCCCGGGGCUCAACCUCGGAACUGCCUCCAAAACUGCUAGUCUAGAGUUCGAGAGAGGUGAGUGGAAUUCCGAGUGUAGAGGUGAAAUUCGUAGAUAUUCGGAGGAACACCAGUGGNGAAGGCGGCUCACUGGCUCGAUACUGACGCUGAGGUGCGAAAGUGUGGGGAGCAAACAGC
RNAcentral lists this ribosomal RNA (253 nucleotides) under uncultured bacterium. Its description in RNAcentral is "partial 16S ribosomal RNA". It matches the Rfam family "Bacterial small subunit ribosomal RNA", at positions 524 to 776 of the family's 1533-position model. The record is from RNAcentral.